RNAcentral lists this ribosomal RNA (746 nucleotides) under Salmonella enterica subsp. enterica serovar Newport. RNAcentral describes it as "partial 23S ribosomal RNA". It matches the Rfam family "Bacterial large subunit ribosomal RNA", at positions 2202 to 2925 of the family's 2925-position model. Lineage: Bacteria; Pseudomonadati; Pseudomonadota; Gammaproteobacteria; Enterobacterales; Enterobacteriaceae. The record is from RNAcentral.
ACCCUUUAAUGUUUGAUGUUCUAACGUGGACCCGUUACCCGGGUUGCGGACAGUGUCUGGUGGGUAGUUUGACUGGGGCGGUCUCCUCCUAAAGAGUAACGGAGGAGCACGAAGGUUGGCUAAUCCUGGUCGGACAUCAGGAGGUUAGUGCAAUGGCAUAAGCCAGCUUGACUGCGAGCGUGACGGCGCGAGCAGGUGCGAAAGCAGGUCAUAGUGAUCCGGUGGUUCUGAAUGGAAGGGCCAUCGCUCAACGGAUAAAAGGUACUCCGGGGAUAACAGGCUGAUACCGCCCAAGAGUUCAUAUCGACGGCGGUGUUUGGCACCUCGAUGUCGGCUCAUCACAUCCUGGGGCUGAAGUAGGUCCCAAGGGUAUGGCUGUUCGCCAUUUAAAGUGGUACGCGAGCUGGGUUUAGAACGUCGUGAGACAGUUCGGUCCCUAUCUGCCGUGGGCGCUGGAGAACUGAGGGGGGCUGCUCCUAGUACGAGAGGACCGGAGUGGACGCAUCACUGGUGUUCGGGUUGUCAUGCCAAUGGCACUGCCCGGUAGCUAAAUGCGGAAGAGAUAAGUGCUGAAAGCAUCUAAGCACGAAACUUGCCCCGAGAUGAGUUCUCCCUGAGACUUAGAGUCUCCUGAAGGAACGUUGAAGACGACGACGUUGAUAGGCCGGGUGUGUAAGCGCAGCGAUGCGUUGAGCUAACCGGUACUAAUGAACCGUGAGGCUUAACCUUACAACGCCGAAGCUGUU